Molecule: long non-coding RNA, 4192 nt
Organism: Oreochromis aureus
Lineage: Eukaryota; Metazoa; Chordata; Actinopteri; Cichliformes; Cichlidae
Exons: 2
Source: RefSeq, a predicted model, not a curated record
UUGUAGCCUGCAGUUCAUUUUCACAGGGAGCCGAGCAGGGAUCAGGAAAUUCCUGAAUAAGAGGAGAGUCAGAUCUUUCCAAGAGUGACUCUGCAGAAGUCUGAGUCACCACACUCGGCAGCGCUGUACAAUGGGAGCUCAAUACCACAACGUCCACCUCCUCCAGCUCUUCCAGGGAAAACACUGAUGUAACCUCUCCUGCAUGUCUUUGGUCUGCUGCGGGUGCUCCUCCUGGUUGGACACACCUGUAAAACCUCACCUGGGAGGCGUCCAGACAGCAUCCUUUUUAGAUGGCUGAGCCACCUCAACCGGCUCCUUUUGACGUUAAAUGAUUAAAAAAACAAAAAACAAAACGAAAAUCUGGUUGAACAACUCACACCUUAGUUUACUGGCAACAAAUCUCUUUUCCACUGAUGCAGUGCCAGCGGUGAUGCCAGAUCUAAAUCAAUAUUGUCUGAACAUGAUUCUCAGGCCCUUCAGUGGGACUGUAGUAAAGCCAGGCAGAAGUCUGCUGGAAAUCACUGCCCUAAAGGCUCAGGAAGACUCUCAAAAACAAGUGUUACUAAACGAAGUCCACUCAAAAAUUCAAAACAAAGCAUAUAUAAACAACAUCCAGAAACAUUACAGCCUUCUUUGGGUCAUAAAUGUAUGAAGCGUACUGAUCAGUCUAACACUGGUUUCUCAGAUGCGUUCCCAGUCAAAACCUGUUCACAUAUUCUUUUCCUUAUUCCUUUCUGACACCUUUCACCUUUCUUGAAGGUGUCCUCCUACAUACAUGUUUAGAUGACUGCCUCUUCUGCACGCUUGGAAGCAAAACCAAAAUACAAAAAGUGCCAGUGAGAGAAGUACCACUCUGCUGGUAAUAAGGAUUUAUCUGUCACUCAGACAAAUCAGUGUCGUCUGAUGGUCACUCCUAUACAUCCUGCUAUGACUUGGUCUAACCCUCACCCUAAAGAAGACUUAUUGCAAAACUAAGAAAGAGGGUACGGGAUAACAAAGCCCUCAAAAGAAUCAGAGCUGUUGCUCUCAGCAAUUUGCUUGGCAUACAUGGAAACUGUAUGCCAAACAACAUGAGAAAUGUCUAAAUAUCCUCUGCUGAAGAUACUUAAGGAGUAUUUUUAACAUGAAGUGGUGAGACAAACUACCAAAUGUUGAAAUAUUUGCCACCAAGCCUGCAUGCUAUCUUAUCUCGGCACCCAAACUUGCGCCAUAAAAGUAAAAGUAGUAGUAAGAGUCGAGAAAUGUCACCAACUGUAAACAUAGGGCGCAUUUUAAAUAAAACAAAAAAACCCCACAAACUGCUGAGUAGCUGAAAUGUUACGUCUUUCCAUUCUUCAUUGAUACAUUUCUUUCAGAACUACAGCAGCUGAUCUCUUUCAUUCUUCAACGCCUACAGGCUGUUAAAAUAAGAGAUGAUGCAACGCUGCGGUAAACAUGUGUCUGUCCCAGCUAUUUUGAAACCUGUUGUUGGCAUCAAAUUCAAAGAGAACAUUAAAAAAAAAAGAGGCUAAUUUCUAAUCGAAAGACAAAUGUUUUCCAUUUCAGGGUUUCACAUGUUGUCUUCUUAUUGCUUCGCCUAAAUACACCCUUAAAAUGAUUUGACUUCUGUUUUUAUCUCCAUUUUACACAAAGUCUGAACUCUUUUUGGAAAUAGGUAAUUAGUAAUGAGCUGCUGGUGCUUCGUAUUUAACAUUUCCUUUAGGGCAGGGGUGUCAAACCUAAGACCCGGGGGCCAAAAUCAGCCCUGCAAACGCUCUAAUUCGGCCCAUGGGGCAAAUGUGAAAAUAUGAAAUAGGACAUUAGACUCGUGCCGAUUGAUUUUUUUCAUUUAUUACAGCAGCGCUUCUUUAUAAUGUAGAAAAUCUGAGACGCACUGUUGAAAUUGCUCUUCUUUAACUUAUAUUAAGAUAUUUCAGGAGUUUAAUGUGCAGUCAAACUUCUUUAGAUGUAAAAUGAGUUCAAUAUCCCUGCUUUAAGGGGAAAAAAGGACAAGGAUUUAUGACCUCUGACUGUAAGCUUUGUGUAACUGGGGCCCUUUAUCACAAAACAGUUACCACUUCCACCCCAGAGAUACUUCCCCUCUAUUUCCCCCAGUAGCUAUUUAAACAAAAACCACAUGAGAAGAUCAAACAGGUAUGCAACAAAUACAAGGAUGUAAUGUUUUAAGGCAGCAAAGAUGUGAGAAAAAAGACUGGAUAUAGCAGAACUUUGCAUUUCUUCUCAUCUCAUCAUCUGAUGAGUCCUCGAGGUUAACUUGUGACCUCUUGAAGUCACCCUGACGCUGAGGUUGGAAAAACCCUGGAUUACACCCCUGCAGCUCUCCCUCAAGCAGCUGCACAGCUUACACGCUAACAUGUCAAAUUGUGUUUUUAUGUGUUAGUUGCAGGGGGUAAUUUUUCUGCAAACCAAGCACAAACGUUGUUUUUAAGUUAAAUGGAAAAGCUCUGUUUUUGCUGCUUCUCUGACAGGCUGAUGCCUUUGGUUGUUUCUGUUGAGACAUUCAGCCGUGAGCAGUUCCUGUUCCUGUUCCUGCCACCCCCCCACCCCCCCGGCUGCUGUUGCUGGGACCAACCGACACUCUCACUGAUGUGACAUAUACUAAUCAACUAUAAUAGGGUAAAAAAACAUGCAUGUAGGUCAUAGCGUAAAUAAGAGGUUCGAGCCGGUGCUUCCCCGCUUAUAAGCUCCACAUCCUUCCUCUUGCUGAACGCAGCAAGGAGCGAUGACUUUGACGUCGACACAUGGUCGACAUGUAAACAAAGCUGGCUGACCUGCCUCACCACAGAUGUCAUCACUGUGUUCCUUUGGGUUUGUUGUUGAUAUUGUCUUCAUAGAAACGGUGGAAAGGAACAAAAAAAAAAAAGAAAAAAGAUGCCAAAGUGUUGCGUGUGGUGUUGUGUACCGCUGAGUCUGUGCUACCAAAAGCUGUUGUUACAAAUGAGGUGAAAGGUAAGGGUACGUGAACGUGAGGAUGGCCACAUAGUCGUGUGGGUGAGUGAAAUGUUUUCAUGGCUGCCACCCACGUCAACACACCCUGUUUCCUCUUGAGUAAUCAUGUCAGUCAAAGCCUACACACCACUACUACUAUGAUAAUCCGAGCUGCUGUCUGUGAUUUGAUGAUUUUUCAGCCGAGAGUUUUUGCUGUACAGCGUUUCAUUAUUAUAUUAUUCUCCCUCGGCCUCAGAGGCAUAUGUCCUCCCCAUGGUUUCAACUCCCUGUUUAAACUGGUUUAAGCUGGGCUUUUGUAAUACAGAUGACGCCAUAUUUUUUUGCGCUGUGCCAUACUGCAAAUUUUGGUAUCAAUCUAUUACCAAGUAAAUACAAGCCCAGUAUUACCAAUGCCGAAAAGGCCACUUACAUGGGGGAGAGCAGUGUCCCAUGAUUUGUGAGAUGAAUCACUGAGUUUUACUUUUUACAAUAAUGAGUUAAUACAUGAAAACACACCCUUCAGCAUUGCGUAUAUUUUAAAAGUGGGGCAGCUUUUGUUGUUUAUAUGUGCUUUAUGCUAUAAAUAAAAUAGACGUGACCGUCACCACAAAAAGGGUCAGGCUUUAAUCAAACAGUUUGAGGUAUUGUUUUUUCUUUACAUGUUUUUUUAACACAAUUCAGCGGGCUACAUACUGAAUUCAGAGGUCCAGUAUCGAUCCAAUACCAAUACCCGCAUUGGUAUCAGUACUAUCGAUACACCUCUAGAUGGAAGUGGAAUUUCUUAAACACACCGAGUACAUCAGAGGACAAAUUUUCACUUCCACAAUAUUCAAAAUUUUCAAGGAGUGGUCGUCAGAAUAAAACAGGAUGUUUGCUUUGUGUGCAUGGCGAUUCAUAUGUCUGGUAAUCUAGGAAAGUUUUGGUGGGCAGCUUUGAGGAACAGUGCAUUAGACUGAACUUUCAAUAUUGAUAUAAACUUCAUCACCUUACAGAUUAGUGGGAUGUUGUGUUUCCUUUCCUUUUCUUUUUUUAUUCCUACUUUAGUGAAGUGCAUGCAGUCAUACCUAGAGUCAGUUUCUCCGAUGAAGUGGUGAUGAAGUCUUGACUGUUUAAAAGAGCUCAGAUGCAUAUUUCUGUUUCUUCAUUUCUUGACUAUUUUCUUUUUUGACUAUUGAUUGGUUAACAGUUCCUACAGUAGCUGUACGGCUGCCUCCUAUUCAGUGGUUACAAAUAACUAACUAAAUAAACAAACAGUUGAAAUUUA